Molecule: non-coding RNA, 2510 nt
Organism: Ictidomys tridecemlineatus (thirteen-lined ground squirrel)
Lineage: Eukaryota; Metazoa; Chordata; Mammalia; Rodentia; Sciuridae
Source: RefSeq, a predicted model, not a curated record
GACACCAUGGGGGCAAGCUUCCAGUUCUGACCACUUUUUAAAACAUGCCUUCGCCAUUUUUGACCCUCUUGCCACUUAACCCAAUUCCCCGAGGCCCCUCUUCCCACUUGGCUCGGCAAACGUGUCUUUUAUUAUGACUCAGCCCCACUCGGCCCGCUCUCUCGGCCAAGCGGCUGACGCUCACGGCGGAGGCGCCCGGGCUUGCCGCUCGUGGACGAGGGCUCGCGCCCCGGCUCGCGCCCGUUGCUCCCGCUUUACGGCUGCUGCAAACCCGCCCGGCCCGGCAGCCGUACCGCAGACGAGCCCGCGCCCGCGCCGCUCAGGUGCCUGAAGAAGGUCUUGGAAUAUAUCCCUUGUAGGAAAGGGGGACUACUGUAUAUGUAUGAUUAGAUCUCCCAGCUGGACAUUGGAAAUAACUUUUGAUGGUGUAGGGACUUUUCCAUGUGACCCCAGUUGCUGCUGAUACCGAAUCCAGAAAGGUGAACAGAUUUCCCCUCCUAAUAAUACAACCAUAGCAACAGCAGCUGUGAUUGAGGAGAAAGCAGAAUAACAUCUCUUCAAGUGGGGACUCCCUGAUUCUGCAGGCGUUAUUCAUUAUCUGAAGGCUGUGAAGGAAAUUGAUAGACUAAGAACCUUGUCUGAUUCUCUGGAGAUAGGAAAACUGAAAGACAUUCAAUAAUAAUUUUGCUCAUUAAUCUUUAGAGGGGCAAGCCUCCAUGUACCUUCAAGAGGUCUUCUGACAAUAGGGUCUUGCAGUAUGUUGUUAUCUACCUUACCUUUUAUAUGUAUUUCUUAGGUCUCUAAGAGGGAGAAGGUUAAAUAGGGAAUUGUGUUUAGAUUGGCUUGACAAAUAAAACAGUCCAUGAUAUAAAAAACAAAACAAAACACAGUAACGUAUAAAAAGAUUUCCCAACUCAUGGUUCUGUAGUAAUGUGUUUGUAUGAGUUUUUAAUAUUACUGUCUGACACAGCAUAAUGGGUUCAGAGGGCAUCUCUAUUGACUUGGAUGAAGGAAACCAUGCCAUUUGAACUUUGUAGCACCUCUGAUGGAUGGAGCAUGGGAUUGAAAACUUAUCAUUAUCUUUCUUAUAAGGGCAUAUGAUAUUGGAUAAGUUAAAUGCACCAAGAUAGAAGUACAAAUUUCACCUUGCACACUUAAAGGCCUUCACAGGAAUUCGGAACACUCUCCUGCUGUAAUAUAACACAUGUUGCACUUUUUGAAUAUGGAUUCAGCAACAUCAGUCUUUUGAUACACGAGUCUUUAAUUCUUAUGUUAGAAUGAAAUGUUAGUAUAAAAUAUAUAAAUAUAUUUUGAAAAAGAAUAACUCUCUUUAAUUUUUUUGUUGAUUAGUUGGUUUGUGAGUUUGGGUGUUUUGGAUUUUUUUUUGUUGUUGUUCUAGAAUUUUUACUCUUUCUUGACAAUAAUGUCCCAUUAGACAUUCUCUGUGUACUUUUCUCCAUUUAUCAAGAUAUUUAUUUUCUCUGCUGAAAUGAGAUUAAAUAUUUUUAAACAUUUUAUUGUUGAUUUAAUAAUAUUUUUAAGGAAAGAGUCAUACCUGUGUGUUAUUUUUUUAAAAAUGAGAUUUUAGCAUAUGAUAGGCAUAAUAAUGUCACUCUCUAAUCCUCAUUAUGUAAUUUGACUUAUUGAGAGAUAUUUUUCAAUUCAUCAUGAAGAACAAAUGGCCUCGAGUUUUAUGUUAUAUGGACUGAUGGAAUUUAAAUUUCAGAAUGGAGUAUUCAUUUUUUAAACAUGGGGCAAUAGGCUUGUUUUUUAGACCAUCCUAAAGGAGUAACACCUGAGAAAGUAAUUAGAAUUUGUAGUUAGCAUGUGCUCAAGAAUGAUUUACAUAAUUCUGAUAUCAUGAGAUUUUCCCUGAGAGCCUUUUUUGUCUUGAGGUGAUUAAUCAGGUGAAUACAUUAAUUUGAUUUCAUCUAGAGAGAAUAUUUGAAAUUGUAACAUAUGAAACAUUCAUUUUAGAACUGCAAAGUUAUCUAAUUUGACUCCUCAUUACCAAAGAUCUUUGCUUAUUUCCAUUAAUUGUCUGAAUGACAAUGACCCUAAAACAACAGAAUUCAUAAGCCCUGAGAGCUAUGUCUAAACCAUCCCUGUAGGUUAUGGCUUGCUAUUUUUUUCUUUCAACUGUAGAUUUUUAGCAAUAUAUUUCUUUUUAUUGUGUUUAACUGUAACUGUAUUUGCUGUAUUAAGAGAGACAGACAAACAGAUGGACAUACAGGGAGAGAAUGAGAGAGAAAAAGAGUGGCAGAGAAGGGAUUUUUCAGGUUUCCUAGCAGUUAAUUUCACCAACUCUAAGCAAUCAAUAAGAUAACAGGUGAGGAGGCUAUAGAAUGUUUAUUCUCACUGUACUCAAGGUUUUCAAAUUCUCUUGUAGGACAAUCUGAAUAGUCAAAUAUUUUUCUUGGGUCUUAAAAGGUAAUUUACUAUAGGUUGGGAAAUGGAAGUGUUUCAGAUUUUAAUUUUUAAAAAUUUUUUGAUAUAUUUGCAUAUAUAUA